GACGAACGCUGGCGGCGUGCUUAACACAUGCAAGUCGAACGGAAAGGCCCCUUCGGGGGUACUCGAGUGGCGAACGGGUGAGUAACACGUGGGCAAUCUGCCCUGCACUUCGGGAUAAGCCUGGGAAACUGGGUCUAAUACCGGAUAGGACCUUUCGACGCAUGUCUUUUGGUGGAACUCUUUUGCGGUGUGGGAUUGUCCCUCGGCCUAUCGGCUUGUUGGUGGGUUGAUGGCCUACGAAGGAGACGACGGGUCGCCGGCCUGAGAGGGUGUCCGGCCACACUGGGACUGAGAUACGGCCCAGACUCCUACGGGAGGCAGCAGUGGGGAAUAUCGCACAAUGGGCGCAAGCCUGAUGCAGCGACGCCGCGUGGGGGAUGACGGCCUUCGGGUUGUAAACCUCUUUCACCAUCGACGAAGGUUCGGGUUUUCUCGGACUGACGGUAGGUGGAGAAGAAGCACCGGCCAACUACGUGCCAGCAGCCGCCGUAA
This 492-nucleotide ribosomal RNA is filed under the name uncultured bacterium. Its description in RNAcentral is "partial 16S ribosomal RNA". It matches the Rfam family "Bacterial small subunit ribosomal RNA", at positions 28 to 523 of the family's 1533-position model. The record is from RNAcentral.